AUUUUAUUUCUGGGUUCAUUUGCAUUUUAGGGCUUAUUUGUGUUAUUUGUGGGCUUAUUAGGAGUUAUUUUUGUGUAAGGGGGUUUUAUGCAAAUUGUGUAUUUGGGCCCUAUAUAAAAGGGACUAUUUUCAUGAUUAGGGUUUAAUGAAGUAAUUUGGAAUUUCUUCCCCCUACGUUCUUUCUUCUCUUUUUCUCCUCUCCUCCUCUAUUCUUCCUGCGUCUCUACAACCUCUUCUUCCUUCUCCUUCUCUUGUUCUUCCUUCUUC
RNAcentral lists this long non-coding RNA (267 nucleotides) under Phoenix dactylifera (date palm). RNAcentral's name for it is "long non-coding RNA (PDAC_LNC012061)". Lineage: Eukaryota; Viridiplantae; Streptophyta; Magnoliopsida; Arecales; Arecaceae. The record is from RNAcentral.